GAUGAACGCUGGCGGCGUGCCUAAUACAUGCAAGUCGAGCGAACAGAUGAGGAGCUUGCUCCUCUGACGUUAGCGGCGGACGGGUGAGUAACACGUGGAUAACCUACCUAUAAGACUGGGAUAACUUCGGGAAACCGGAGCUAAUACCGGAUAAUAUAUUGAACCGCAUGGUUCAAUAGUGAAAGACGGUUUUGCUGUCACUUAUAGAUGGAUCCGCGCCGCAUUAGCUAGUUGGUAAGGUAACGGCUUACCAAGGCAACGAUGCGUAGCCGACCUGAGAGGGUGAUCGGCCACACUGGAACUGAGACACGGUCCAGACUCCUACGGGAGGCAGCAGUAGGGAAUCUUCCGCAAUGGGCGAAAGCUUGACGGAGCAACGCCGCGUGAGUGAUGAAGGUCUUCGGAUCGUAAGACUCUGUUAUUAGGGAAGAACAAAUGUGUAAGUAACUAUGCACGUCUUGACGGUACCUAAUCAGAAAGCCACGGCUAACUACGUG
Molecule: ribosomal RNA, 497 nt
Filed under: uncultured bacterium
Lineage: Bacteria
Description: partial 16S ribosomal RNA
Rfam family: Bacterial small subunit ribosomal RNA
Source: RNAcentral